This 73-nucleotide transfer RNA is filed under the name Nanobdellota archaeon. RNAcentral's name for it is "Nanoarchaeota archaeon tRNA-Thr". It matches the Rfam family "tRNA". Rfam says of the family: Transfer RNA (tRNA) molecules are approximately 80 nucleotides in length. Their secondary structure includes four short double-helical elements and three loops (D, anti-codon, and T loops). Further hydrogen bonds mediate the characteristic L-shaped molecular structure. tRNAs have two regions of fundamental functional importance: the anti-codon, which is responsible for specific mRNA codon recognition, and the 3' end, to which the tRNAs corresponding amino acid is attached (by aminoacyl-tRNA synthetases). tRNAs cope with the degeneracy of the genetic code in two manners: having more than one tRNA (with a specific anti-codon) for a particular amino acid; and 'wobble' base-pairing, i.e. permitting non-standard base-pairing at the 3rd anti-codon position. The record is from RNAcentral. Lineage: Archaea; Nanobdellati; Nanobdellota.
GCCUCCGUAGCAUAGUAGCUAUUGCGUUACCUUGGUAAGGUAAAGGUCGCGAGUGCAAAUCUCGCCGGAGGCU